Molecule: small RNA, 28 nt
Filed under: Bombyx mori (domestic silkworm)
Lineage: Eukaryota; Metazoa; Arthropoda; Insecta; Lepidoptera; Bombycidae
Description: ovarian small RNA-14881
Source: RNAcentral
CUGAUCACGAAAACAGAAUAUCUGAAGA